UGGGGAAUUUUGGACAAUGGGCGAAAGCCUGAUCCAGCAAUGCCGCGUGUGUGAAGAAGGCCUUCGGGUUGUAAAGCACUUUUGUCCGGAAAGAAAUCCUUGGCUCUAAUACAGUCGGGGGAUGACGGUACCGGAAGAAUAAGCACCGGCUAACUACGUGCCAGCAGCCGCGGUAAUACGUAGGGUGCAAGCGUUAAUCGGAAUUACUGGGCGUAAAGCGUGCGCAGGCGGUUUGCUAAGACCGAUGUGAAAUCCCCGGGCUCAACCUGGGAACUGCAUUGGUGACUGGCAGGCUAGAGUAUGGCAGAGGGGGGUAGAAUUCCACGUGUAGCAGUGAAAUGCGUAGAGAUGUGGAGGAAUACCGAUGGCGAAGGCAGCCCCCUGGGCCAAUACUGACGCUCAUGCACGAAAGCGUGGGGAGCAGACAGGAUUAGAUACCCUGGUAGUCCACGCCCUAAACGAUGUCAACUAGUUGUUGGGGAUUCAUUUCCUUAGUAACGUAGCUAACGCGUGAAGUUGACCGCCUGGGGAGUACGGUCGCAAGAUUAAAACUCAAAUGAAUUGACGGGGUCAUAGCUGUUUCCU
Molecule: ribosomal RNA, 585 nt
Filed under: uncultured bacterium
Lineage: Bacteria
Description: partial 16S ribosomal RNA
Rfam family: Bacterial small subunit ribosomal RNA
Source: RNAcentral